CCUACGGGGGGCAGCAGUGGGGAAUAUUGGGCAAUGGGCGCAAGCCUGACCCAGCAACGCCGCGUGAAGGAAGAAGGCUUUCGGGUUGUAAACUUCUUUUCUCAGGGACGAAGCAAGUGACGGUACCUGAUGAAUAAGCCACGGCUAACUACGUGCCAGCAGCCGCGGGAAUACGUAGGUGGCAAGCGUUAUCCGGAUUUACUGGGUGUAAAGGUCGUGUAGGCGGGACUGCAAGUCAGAUGUGAAAACCACGGGCUCAACCUGUGGCGUGCAUUUGAAACUGUAGUUCUUGAGUACGGGAGAGGCAGACGGAAUGCCUAGUGUAGCGGUGAAAUGCGUAGAUAUUAGGAGGAACACCAGUGGCGAAGGCGGUCUGCUGGACAGCAACUGACGCUGAGGCGCGAAAGCGUGGGGAGCAAACAGGAUUAGAUACCCGAGUAGUC
Molecule: ribosomal RNA, 443 nt
Filed under: uncultured bacterium
Lineage: Bacteria
Description: partial 16S ribosomal RNA
Rfam family: Bacterial small subunit ribosomal RNA
Source: RNAcentral